Molecule: ribosomal RNA, 433 nt
Filed under: uncultured bacterium
Lineage: Bacteria
Description: partial 16S ribosomal RNA
Rfam family: Bacterial small subunit ribosomal RNA
Source: RNAcentral
AACGAACGCUGGCGGCAUGCCUAACACAUGCAAGUCGAACGAGACCUUCGGGUCUAGUGGCGCACGGGUGCGUAACGCGUGGGAAUCUGCCCUUGGGUUCGGAAUAACAGUUGGACACGACUGCUAAUACCGGAUGAUGACGUAAGUCCAAAGAUUUAUCGCCCAGGGAUGAGCCCGCGUAGGAUUAGCUAGUUGGUGGGGUAAAGGCCUACCAAGGCUACGAUCCUUAGCUGGUCUGAGAGGAUGAUCAGCCACACUGGGACUGAGACACGGCCCAGACUCCUACGGGAGGCAGCAGUGGGGAAUAUUGGACAAUGGGCGAAAGCCUGAUCCAGCAAUGCCGCGUGAGUGAUGAAGGCCUUAGGGUUGUAAAGCUCUUUUACCCGGGAUGAUAAUGACAGUACCGGGAGAAUAAGCCCCGGCUAACUCCGUG